GAUGAACGCUGGCGGCGUGCCUAAUACAUGCCAGUCGAGCGAACAGACGAGGAGCUUGCUCCUCUGACGUUAGCGGCGGACGGGUGAGUAACACGUGGAUAACCUACCUAUAAGACUGGGAUAACUUCGGGAAACCGGAGCUAAUACCGGAUAAUAUAUUGAACCGCAUGGUUCAAUAGUGAAAGACGGUUUUGCUGUCACUUAUAGAUGGAUCCGCGCCGCAUUAGCUAGUUGGUAAGGUAACGGCUUACCAAGGCAACGAUGCGUAGCCGACCUGAGAGGGUGAUCGGCCACACUGGAACUGAGACACGGUCCAGACUCCUACGGGAGGCAGCAGUAGGGAAUCUUCCGCAAUGGGCGAAAGCCUGACGGAGCAACGCCGCGUGAGUGAUGAAGGUCUUCGGAUCGUAAAACUCUGCUAUUAGGGAAGAACAAAUGUGUAAGUAACUAUGCACGUCUUGACGGUACCUAAUCAGAAAGCCACGGCUAACUACGUG
RNAcentral lists this ribosomal RNA (497 nucleotides) under uncultured bacterium. RNAcentral's name for it is "partial 16S ribosomal RNA". It matches the Rfam family "Bacterial small subunit ribosomal RNA", at positions 28 to 507 of the family's 1533-position model. The record is from RNAcentral.